Molecule: ribosomal RNA, 698 nt
Filed under: uncultured Russulales
Lineage: Eukaryota; Fungi; Basidiomycota; Agaricomycetes; Agaricales
Description: eukaryotic LSU rRNA
Rfam family: 5.8S ribosomal RNA (bases 263-416)
Source: RNAcentral
GGAGAAGUAAAAGUCGUAACAAGGUUUCCGUAGGUGAACCUGCGGAAGGAUCAUUAUCAUACAAUGGAGAUACAAGGGCUGUUGCUAAACCUUUCAAAAGGGUCGUGCACGCGUGAGUUGUUCCUCUCCUACACAAAUCCAUUUCACCCCUUAUGUGCAUCACCGCGUGGGUAUGGCCCCACGUUUUUUUUCUUUCAUCACACAAACUUCAAAAGUAAUAUAGAAUGUAUAUUCAUUAUUUGCGGUGAUACGCAAUCAAUAUAACUUUCAACAACGGAUCUCUUGGCUCUCGCAUCGAUGAAGAACGCAGCAAAAUGCGAUACGUAAUGUGAAUUGCAGAAUUCAGUGAAUCAUCGAAUCUUUGAACGCACCUUGCACCCCUUGGUAUUCCGAGGGGUACACCCGUUUGAGUGUCGUGAAAUACUCAAAAAGCCCUUUUUCUUGAUCUUUUAAGAAAAGGGAUUUUUGGACUUGGAGGAUAUUAAUGCUUGCUAUCAUUUAUUGAAAGAGAGCUCCUCUUAAAUAAAUUAGUGGGGGUUUGCUUUGCUGAUCCUUGAUGUGAUAAAGUAAUUCUACAUUUUGGAUAUAAGCAUUGUCAUUUAUAAACACCUGCUUCUAAUUGUCUAUAUGGACAAUGAUGGUGUUCUGGUCACACAAAGGCUAGACCCACAAGAAAAAACCUUGACCUCAAAUCGGGG